This 1677-nucleotide ribosomal RNA is filed under the name Salmonella enterica subsp. enterica serovar Muenchen. Its description in RNAcentral is "partial 23S ribosomal RNA". It matches the Rfam family "Bacterial large subunit ribosomal RNA", at positions 1273 to 2925 of the family's 2925-position model. RNAcentral also lists the same sequence under 5 other names. The record is from RNAcentral. Lineage: Bacteria; Pseudomonadati; Pseudomonadota; Gammaproteobacteria; Enterobacterales; Enterobacteriaceae.
CUGGAGGUAUCAGAAGUGCGAAUGCUGACAUAAGUAACGAUAAAGCGGGUGAAAAGCCCGCUCGCCGGAAGACCAAGGGUUCCUGUCCAACGUUAAUCGGGGCAGGGUGAGUCGACCCCUAAGGCGAGGCCGAAAGGCGUAGUCGAUGGGAAACGGGUUAAUAUUCCCGUACUUGGUGUUACUGCGAAGGGGGGACGGAGAAGGCUAUGUUGGCCGGGCGACGGUUGUCCCGGUUUAAGCGUGUAGGUGUGUGUUCCAGGUAAAUCCGGUUCACUUUAACACUGAGGCGUGAUGACGAGGCACUACGGUGCUGAAGCAACAAAUGCCCUGCUUCCAGGAAAAGCCUCUAAGCAUCAGGUAACAUCAAAUCGUACCCCAAACCGACACAGGUGGUCAGGUAGAGAAUACCAAGGCGCUUGAGAGAACUCGGGUGAAGGAACUAGGCAAAAUGGUGCCGUAACUUCGGGAGAAGGCACGCUGACACGUAGGUGAAGUGAUUUACUCAUGGAGCUGAAGUCAGUCGAAGAUACCAGCUGGCUGCAACUGUUUAUUAAAAACACAGCACUGUGCAAACACGAAAGUGGACGUAUACGGUGUGACGCCUGCCCGGUGCCGGAAGGUUAAUUGAUGGGGUCAGCGCAAGCGAAGCUCCUGAUCGAAGCCCCGGUAAACGGCGGCCGUAACUAUAACGGUCCUAAGGUAGCGAAAUUCCUUGUCGGGUAAGUUCCGACCUGCACGAAUGGCGUAAUGAUGGCCAGGCUGUCUCCACCCGAGACUCAGUGAAAUUGAACUCGCUGUGAAGAUGCAGUGUACCCGCGGCAAGACGGAAAGACCCCGUGAACCUUUACUAUAGCUUGACACUGAACAUUGAGCCUUGAUGUGUAGGAUAGGUGGGAGGCUUUGAAGUGUGGACGCCAGUCUGCAUGGAGCCGGCCUUGAAAUACCACCCUUUAAUGUUUGAUGUUCUAACGUGGACCCGUGAUCCGGGUUGCGGACAGUGUCUGGUGGGUAGUUUGACUGGGGCGGUCUCCUCCUAAAGAGUAACGGAGGAGCACGAAGGUUGGCUAAUCCUGGUCGGACAUCAGGAGGUUAGUGCAAUGGCAUAAGCCAGCUUGACUGCGAGCGUGACGGCGCGAGCAGGUGCGAAAGCAGGUCAUAGUGAUCCGGUGGUUCUGAAUGGAAGGGCCAUCGCUCAACGGAUAAAAGGUACUCCGGGGAUAACAGGCUGAUACCGCCCAAGAGUUCAUAUCGACGGCGGUGUUUGGCACCUCGAUGUCGGCUCAUCACAUCCUGGGGCUGAAGUAGGUCCCAAGGGUAUGGCUGUUCGCCAUUUAAAGUGGUACGCGAGCUGGGUUUAGAACGUCGUGAGACAGUUCGGUCCCUAUCUGCCGUGGGCGCUGGAGAACUGAGGGGGGCUGCUCCUAGUACGAGAGGACCGGAGUGGACGCAUCACUGGUGUUCGGGUUGUCAUGCCAAUGGCACUGCCCGGUAGCUAAAUGCGGAAGAGAUAAGUGCUGAAAGCAUCUAAGCACGAAACUUGCCCCGAGAUGAGUUCUCCCUGAGACUUUAGGUCUCCUGAAGGAACGUUGAAGACGACGACGUUGAUAGGCCGGGUGUGUAAGCGCAGCGAUGCGUUGAGCUAACCGGUACUAAUGAACCGUGAGGCUUAACCUUACA